Molecule: ribosomal RNA, 253 nt
Filed under: uncultured bacterium
Lineage: Bacteria
Description: partial 16S ribosomal RNA
Rfam family: Bacterial small subunit ribosomal RNA
Source: RNAcentral
CACGUAGGGGGCGAGCGUUGUCCGGAAUUACUGGGCGUAAAGGGCAUGUAGGCGGCUUUGUAAGCCCGGCGUGGAAGCCCACGGCUCAACCGUGGGAUUGCGUUGGGAACUGCGAGGCUUGAAUCAUGGAGAGGGAGCUAGAAUUCCUGGUGUAGGGGUGAAAUCUGUAGAGAUCAGGAAGAAUACCAGUGGCGAAGGCGAGCUCCUGGCCAAUGAUUGACGCUGAGGUGCGAAAGUGUGGGGAUCAAACAGG